Molecule: ribosomal RNA, 496 nt
Filed under: uncultured bacterium
Lineage: Bacteria
Description: bacterial SSU rRNA
Rfam family: Bacterial small subunit ribosomal RNA
Source: RNAcentral
GAUGAACGCUAGCUACAGGCUUAACACAUGCAAGUCGCGGGGCAGCAUGAAUUUAGCUUGCUAAAUUUGAUGGCGACCGGCGCACGGGUGAGUAUCGCGUAUCCAACCUUCCCAUAUCCACGGGAUAGCCUGCCGAAAGGCAGAUUAAUACCGUAUGUUGUCGCACGCUGGCAUCAAAAUGCGACGAAAGGCUUAGCGGAUAUGGAUGGGGAUGCGUCCGAUUAGCUUGACGGCGGGGUAACGGCCCACCGUGGCGACGAUCGGUAGGGGUUCUGAGAGGAAGGUCCCCCACAUUGGAACUGAGACACGGUCCAAACUCCUACGGGAGGCAGCAGUGAGGAAUAUUGGUCAAUGGGCGGAAGCCUGAACCAGCCAAGUAGCGUGCAGGACGACGGCCCUAUGGGUUGUAAACUGCUUUUAUGCGGGAUAAAGUAUGGGACGUGUCCCAUUUUGCAGGUACCGCAUGAAUAAGGACCGGCUAAUUCCGUGCCAGCAG